CAUGACACGCACAAGGAUGCUUCAAAACACAGAGAAUGGUAGUGGAUGGAAGAUGACAGUGGAAGUCUGAAAUGCACUUAAAGUGUUUGUGAAAAUGUUUGGUAAUGUUUGGAUGAAUGUUUUGGUAGAUUUCUAGCUCAGACAGCCUUCCAAAAGGGAAAGGAGCUAGAGGAGGUACUAGAUAACAAAGCAUAGAGGUGAACUUGAGAGUGACAGCUGAAAAUUGGCAGCAUUUCUUUACUUCAUUCAAGUUGGUUUACAAGAGAUCUAAGCUUCUCUUUUAUAGAUAGAGAUAACUUAAAUCCAUUCAAGGCAAGCUAGCUUAUAAUGCAUUUGAAUGUUAUUGAAAACACUGAGCGUUGGGAAGGUGUGACUGGGCGCUCCUUUGUAUUUUCUAAUCCGGAAGUUACUUGGCCAAUCCGUAUGCAUCUUUCUUGCUUCCAAUGUCUAACAUUGUUUAGGUGCUUCCCCAAGGUUUGCCACCAUUGGAACAACAUCACAUAAAAUAUUUUCUUCAUAUUUGCCAAUGGAUAUUGGUAUGGUUACUUGUGUGUUCACUACUAUUUCUUCAUCCUCUGUUAUCCAC
Molecule: long non-coding RNA, 586 nt
Filed under: Vigna radiata
Lineage: Eukaryota; Viridiplantae; Streptophyta; Magnoliopsida; Fabales; Fabaceae
Description: long non-coding RNA (VRAD_LNC008472)
Source: RNAcentral